This 64-nucleotide transfer RNA is filed under the name Agonum muelleri. RNAcentral's name for it is "tRNA-Leu". Lineage: Eukaryota; Metazoa; Arthropoda; Insecta; Coleoptera; Carabidae. The record is from RNAcentral.
AUUACUUUGGCAGAUUAGUGCAAUGAAUUUAGAAUUCAUAUAUGUAAUUAUUUUACAGGUAAUA